AUGGACUCAAUUCUUUCUAAUGGAACUUGGGAACUAACUGAUAGACCAUAUGGUUGUAAACCUGUGGGCUGUAAGUGGGUGUUCAAAAAGAAGCUAAAGCCUGAUGGUACUAUUGAUAAGUACAGGGCGCGGCUAGUGGCCAAGGGCUACACUCAGAAAGAAGGCGAAGAUUACUUUGACACCUAUUCACCCGUUGCUAGAAUGACCACCAUUCGAGUGUUACUUUCCUUGGCUGCCUCUUCUGGUCUUAUCAUUCAUCAAAUGGAUGUAAAGACAGCUUUUCUCAAUGGAGAGUUGGAAGAGGAGAUCUAUAUGGAUCAGCCUGACGGGUUUGUGGUAAAGGGUGAAGAGAGAAAGGUGUGCAAGUUGUUAAAAUCUUUGUAUGGUCUGAAACAGGCACCUAAGCAAUGGCAUGAGAAGUUUGAAAGAACUCUGACUUCUGCAGGAUUUGUCAUUAACGAUGCUGAUAGGUGUGUUUACUAUCGCCAUGGUGGGGGAUGA
RNAcentral lists this ribosomal RNA (501 nucleotides) under Triticum aestivum (bread wheat). RNAcentral describes it as "partial small subunit ribosomal RNA". The record is from RNAcentral. Lineage: Eukaryota; Viridiplantae; Streptophyta; Magnoliopsida; Poales; Poaceae.